GGGGCUAUAGCUCAGCUGGGAGAGCGCUACAAUGGCAUUGUAGAGGUCGCCGGUUCGAUCCCGGCUAGCUCCACCA
Molecule: transfer RNA, 76 nt
Filed under: Gammaproteobacteria bacterium
Lineage: Bacteria; Pseudomonadati; Pseudomonadota; Gammaproteobacteria
Also listed under: 5 other names
Description: tRNA-Ala
Rfam family: tRNA
About the family: Transfer RNA (tRNA) molecules are approximately 80 nucleotides in length.
Source: RNAcentral